RNAcentral lists this ribosomal RNA (429 nucleotides) under Pseudomonadota bacterium. Its description in RNAcentral is "Proteobacteria bacterium partial 16S ribosomal RNA". It matches the Rfam family "Bacterial small subunit ribosomal RNA", at positions 355 to 776 of the family's 1533-position model. The record is from RNAcentral. Lineage: Bacteria; Pseudomonadati; Pseudomonadota.
UGGGGAAUAUUGGACAAUGGGCGAAAGCCUGAUCCAGCCAUGCCGCGUGUGUGAAGAAGGUCUUCGGAUUGUAAAGCACUUUAAGUUGGGAGGAAGGGCAGUAAGCGAAUACCUUGCUGUUUUGACGUUACCGACAGAAUAAGCACCGGCUAACUCUGUGCCAGCAGCCGCGGUAAUACAGAGGGUGCAAGCGUUAAUCGGAAUUACUGGGCGUAAAGCGCGCGUAGGUGGUUCGUUAAGUUGAAUGUGAAAGCCCCGGGCUCAACCUGGGAACUGCAUCCAAAGCUGGCGAGCUAGAGUAGGGCAGAGGGUGGUGGAAUUUCCUGUGUAGCGGUGAAAUGCGUAGAUAUAGGAAGGAACACCAGUGGCGAAGGCGACCACCUGGGCUCAUACUGACAUUGAGGUGCGAAAGCGUGGGGAGCAAACAGG